Molecule: unclassified non-coding RNA, 302 nt
Filed under: uncultured fungus
Lineage: Eukaryota; Fungi
Description: partial contains small subunit ribosomal RNA, internal transcribed spacer 1, and 5.8S ribosomal RNA
Rfam family: Eukaryotic small subunit ribosomal RNA (bases 1-73)
Source: RNAcentral
GCAAACUUGGUCAUUUAGAGGAAGUAAAAGUCGUAACAAGGUUUCCGUUGGUGAACCAGCGGAAGGAUCAUUGGUGGAAGGCCCUCCGGGCCUACGCCUCCAAACCACUGUGAACUUGAAAACCGUAUGCCCGCGGGGGACCGCGUGGUGGCCGCUGGGGGGCCGCCCGGGGGAGCCCGUGGGACGUUGAACCUGAACCGUCUGAAGGAAAAUACAUCUGAAGAAACACGAGCCCUGCCGGGCGAGUGGGAACAACUUUUGGCAAUGGAUCUCUAGGCUCUGGCAUCGAUGAAGAACGCAGC